CCUACGGGAGGCAGCAGUGGGGAAUAUUGCACAAUGGGGGAAACCCUGAUGCAGCGACGCCGCGUGAGUGAAGAAGUAAUUCGUUAUGUAAAGCUCUAUCAGCAGGGAAGAAAAUGACGGUACCUGAGCAAGAAGCCCCGGCUAACUACGUGCCUGCAGCCGCGGUAAUACGUAGGGGGCAAGCGUUAUCCGGAUUUACUGGGUGUAAAGGGAGCGUAGACGGGUGUGCAAGUCUGGAGUGAAAGGCGGGGGCUCAACCCCCGGACUGCUCUGGAAACUGUACGUCUGGAGUGCAGGAGAGGUAAGUGGAAUUCCUGGUGUAGCGGUGAAAUGCGUAGAUAUUAGGAGGAACACCAGUGGCGAAGGCGGCUUACUGGACUGUAACUGACGUUGAGGCUCGAAAGCGUGGGGAGCAAACAGGAUUAGAUACCCUUGUAGUC
Molecule: ribosomal RNA, 440 nt
Filed under: uncultured bacterium
Lineage: Bacteria
Description: partial 16S ribosomal RNA
Rfam family: Bacterial small subunit ribosomal RNA
Source: RNAcentral